AUGGAGCAGCGACCCCCAAGAGUGCCCAAGUUGGCCUGGCUUGAGGAGGAGGAAGAAGAAGGCCCUGGAGCUGUCCCGGCACAGGAGUCUGAAGAGGUGCAGGAGUUCCAGGCACCACAGGAGGGUGAGUUGCAGAGCUCGGCCUUAGGGCUAGUGCCUGUUGCCAGCUUGGCCCCAUCCCAUUCCAUGCCAUGCCAUCCCCUGGUGCUGUUCCUAUGGAAAGGAUGGGAGAGUCCGAAAGAAGACAGGGAGCAGCGACCCCCAAGAGUGCCCAAGCUGGCCUGGGUGGAGAAGGAGGAAGAGGAGGUCGAGGAAGAAGGUCCUGGAGCUGCCCCAGCACCAGAGACCGAAGAGGUGCAGCAGUUGCAGCCGCUGGAGGAGGAUGCAGCCAUGGACGGCACACAAGAGCAGGACACCGCCCGUGGCCGCUUCCGCAGAGCAGCGCAGUUUCUUUACCAAUACAUCAAGAGAAUUGGCAAGGAAGACACCAGUCCCAUGGACACUGAGGUCAAGGCAUCCUCAGAGGUCUUGGUAGAGCAGAGCAGCGCUGCCCAGCUGGAUAUGCUUGUAGAGACGGCUCUUUUCAAUCCAGAGCAAGUGCCCGGCGUGGUGAGGUACAUCCACCAGUGGCUCAUGGCCAAUGAGGCUGCUGAGCACAGGAUGGACUGGGCCCUGAUGCAAGUGUCUGAGGCAGAGCCUGAUGAUGUGGCCAUCACCCUCCUGCAGGUGGCCCCAACGUGUGACAGAGCUGCUAUGGCCAUGUGGACGACCAUCUUGCUCUCGCCUUGGAUUUCAGAGGAAGUGACACCACUCCUCAUCAAUGUGGUGGGGAGCUGGCCGCAGAAAAACCUGGGCACCUCUGAUGGGGACAAGACGGCUGUCUUUUCCCUGACUGCAACUCUGGUGAUGUGGAAGAUCCUCCAGGGGCCCUGUUGCCCACAGAUCCUCACAGUCUAUUUCCCCCGCCUCUUUGUGCAUCUGCUCUUCCAAACGUACUUCAGUACUUUGUAUAUGACAGAGGACGUCCAUACCUUCUGGAAGGAAUGCCAGGAGCAACACGGCCUCUCCACCAGCCCCAACAGGUUUGCAGUGCAGACCCUGAAGGCCCUGCUCUGCAGUCUCCACUUGGAGCAUGUGGUGGUGGCAAUGGAACACAAGCGUGGCUGGGACACGCUGCUCUGUGCUGACACCCACCACUAUGCCGUGGGUCUGCUGGCCAGCUCCUAG
This 1227-nucleotide long non-coding RNA is filed under the name Cyanistes caeruleus (blue tit). Its description in RNAcentral is "lncRNA (ENSCCEG00000004886.1)". Lineage: Eukaryota; Metazoa; Chordata; Aves; Passeriformes; Paridae. The record is from RNAcentral.